Molecule: ribosomal RNA, 433 nt
Filed under: uncultured bacterium
Lineage: Bacteria
Description: partial 16S ribosomal RNA
Rfam family: Bacterial small subunit ribosomal RNA
Source: RNAcentral
AGCGAACGCUGGCGGCAGGCCUAACACAUGCAAGCCGAACGAACUCUUCGGAGUUAGUGGCGGACGGGUGAGUAACACGUGGGAACGUGCCUUUAGGUUCGGAAUAACUCAGGGAAACUUGUGCUAAUACCGAAUGUGCCCUUCGGGGGAAAGAUUUAUCGCCUUUAGAGCGGCCCGCGUCUGAUUAGCUAGUUGGUGAGGUAAAGGCUCACCAAGGCGACGAUCAGUAGCUGGUCUGAGAGGAUGAUCAGCCACAUUGGGACUGAGACACGGCCCAAACUCCUACGGGAGGCAGCAGUGGGGAAUCUUGCGCAAUGGGCGAAAGCCUGACGCAGCCAUGCCGCGUGAAUGAUGAAGGUCUUAGGAUUGUAAAAUUCUUUCACCGGGGACGAUAAUGACGGUACCCGGAGAAGAAGCCCCGGCUAACUUCGUG